RNAcentral lists this ribosomal RNA (1420 nucleotides) under [Clostridium] innocuum. RNAcentral describes it as "partial 23S ribosomal RNA". It matches the Rfam family "Bacterial large subunit ribosomal RNA", at positions 1510 to 2925 of the family's 2925-position model. Lineage: Bacteria; Bacillati; Bacillota; Clostridia; Eubacteriales; Clostridiaceae. The record is from RNAcentral.
GUUUAAGCGUGUAGGCUGGUUUUCCAGGCAAAUCCGGAAAAUCAAGGCUGAGGCGUGAUGACGAGGCACUACGGUGCUGAAGCAACAAAUGCCCUGCUUCCAGGAAAAGCCUCUAAGCAUCAGGUAACAUCAAAUCGUACCCCAAACCGACACAGGUGGUCAGGUAGAGAAUACCAAGGCGCUUGAGAGAACUCGGGUGAAGGAACUAGGCAAAAUGGUGCCGUAACUUCGGGAGAAGGCACGCUGAUAUGUAGGUGAGGUCCCUCGCGGAUGGAGCUGAAAUCAGUCGAAGAUACCAGCUGGCUGCAACUGUUUAUUAAAAACACAGCACUGUGCAAACACGAAAGUGGACGUAUACGGUGUGACGCCUGCCCGGUGCCGGAAGGUUAAUUGAUGGGGUUAGCGGUAACGCGAAGCUCUUGAUCGAAGCCCCGGUAAACGGCGGCCGUAACUAUAACGGUCCUAAGGUAGCGAAAUUCCUUGUCGGGUAAGUUCCGACCUGCACGAAUGGCGUAACGACUUCCCUGCUGUCUCAACCACAGGCCCGGUGAAAUUGCAGUACGAGUAAAGAUGCUCGUUACGCGCGGCAGGACGAAAAGACCCCGGGACCUUCACUAUAGCUUGGUAUUGGUGUUUGGUUCGGUUUGUGUAGGAUAGGUGGGAGACUGUGAUACUGCGCCGCUAGGUGUGGUGGAGUCGCAAGUUGAAAUACCACUCUGAUCGGAUUGAGCACCUUAACCUUGGCCCAUGAUCUGGGUUGGGGACAGUGCCUGGUGGGUAGUUUAACUGGGGCGGUUGCCUCCUAAAAUGUAACGGAGGCGCCCAAAGGUUCCCUCAGCCUGGUUGGCAAUCAGGUGGUGAGUGUAAGUGCACAAGGGAGCUUGACUGUGAGACUGACAGGUCGAGCAGGGACGAAAGUCGGGACUAGUGAUCCGGCACCUACUUGUGGAAGUGGUGUCGCUCAACGGAUAAAAGGUACCCCGGGGAUAACAGGCUGAUCUUCCCCAAGAGUCCAUAUCGACGGGAUGGUUUGGCACCUCGAUGUCGGCUCGUCGCAUCCUGGGGCUGGAGUAGGUCCCAAGGGUUGGGCUGUUCGCCCAUUAAAGCGGCACGCGAGCUGGGUUUAGAACGUCGUGAGACAGUUCGGUCUCUAUCCGCCGUGCGCGUUGAAACUUGAAGAAGGCUGUCCCUAGUACGAGAGGACCGGGACGGACGUACCUCUAGUGUGCCAGUUGUCACGCCAGUGGCAGGGCUGGUUGGCUACGUACGGAAGGGAUAACCGCUGAAAGCAUCUAAGCGGGAAGCCUGUUUUAAGAUGAGGUUUCUUUUGAGGUUCCCUCGAGACGAGGGGGUUGAUAGGCCAGAUCUGGAAGAGUGGUAACACUUGGAGGUGACUGGUACUAAUUUACCGAUAAACAAC